CGGUGAUAAGAUGUUACCUACGUAACGACUUAUAAUGAUCUUUUCCGUAGGUGAACCUGCGGAAGGAUCAUUA
RNAcentral lists this ribosomal RNA (73 nucleotides) under Hannaella luteola. RNAcentral describes it as "partial 18S ribosomal RNA". The record is from RNAcentral. Lineage: Eukaryota; Fungi; Basidiomycota; Tremellomycetes; Tremellales; Bulleribasidiaceae.